This 477-nucleotide ribosomal RNA is filed under the name uncultured bacterium. RNAcentral describes it as "partial 16S ribosomal RNA". It matches the Rfam family "Bacterial small subunit ribosomal RNA", at positions 28 to 507 of the family's 1533-position model. The record is from RNAcentral.
GACGAACGCUGGCGGCGUGCUUAACACAUGCAAGUCGAGCGGAAAGACCCUGCUUUUGUGGGGUGCUCGAGUGGCGAGCAGGGGAGUGACACGUGAGUAACCUGCCCUUGACUUUGGGGUAAAUUCAGGGAACUGGGGAGAUAACCGCGUAGAAGUUCUUGAACCGUGUGGGUGAAUGGAAAAUUACGGUGUUGGCGGCGGUUGGGGAUGGAUUCGCGGCGUAUCAGCGUGUUGGUGGGGAAAUGGCUUACCAAGGCAUUGACGGGUAGCCGGCCUGAGAGGGUGACCGGCCACAUUGGGACUGAGAUACGGCCCAGACUCCUACGGGAGGCAGCAGUGGGGAAUAUUGCACAAUGGGCGGAAGCCUGAUGCAGCAACGCCGCGUGCGGGAUGACGGCCUUCGGGUUGUAAACCGCUUUCGCCUGUGACGAAGCGUGAGUGACGGUAAUGGGUAAAGAAGCACCGGCUAACUACGUG